UUUAUAACUUAUGCAAAAAGUUAUUGCUCUCUCUGAGGAUUGAACCGGGGAUCCCAGUAACAGCAAAUAUGCACUCAACCUGUUCAUCUGUCACACUGAUGAUAUGAGAUAAGAAAUGAGAUUGUUCUUGAGCUCAACCUUGUCUGUUCAUGUAUAUAGUGUCAGCUUGUACUCCCACAAUGAAAUUUACUAAAUUAUUGUUGUAAACUUUCAAAAAAUAAUGGAUCCAGUAAGAUCACUUUUUUACAAAACAGUUAUGUGGAGUUGUGGAUAAUAUUUUGAAUAGCAACAUUCAAAAGACUCAGUAUAAUAUCUUACAGUUAUAACAGAAAUAAUUUGAAGAUAGGUUCCAAUUGGUUCAAGGAAAAACCAUAUUGAUCUGGGGGUUAGAAGGUUAAAGGGCAGUCCACCCGUCUGUGAUUAUCAUUAUCACCAGGUCCUUCGAUUCUCUGUUAUAUUGUUUUAUUGCAGUCAGUAAUUAUUGUAAAAUUAUAGUCAAAAAUACUGAUUUUAAACCAGGAUUCUGUUUUUGUUAAAUAAUAUUUAAAAGUAGAGAUGUAUAUAAAAGUAACAAACCGUUUUAUAAAAUAUUUUAAUAAUAAAUUACCCUAUGAAACCUUACUUUUGGGUAGAAAAAUAGGUAAAACAGACUGUGUUUUAAUUGGAGAAAGUGUUUAAAUGAUUAAAACUGAAAAUUUGUUAUUUAAAAAAAAGUUGAAAUGAAGUAAAUACAACAUUUGAUUUAAAUGUACAUAGCACAAUUUCAUUCAGACUAUGUAUUCAGCCUAUACUUUAUGCCGAUCAGUUAUUAAGACAACUAAAUCCAUGAUUUUAGUGUGAUUGCUAUCCUACCAUUUUACUGUAGGUUUUAUUUUACAAUUGUUAAAGGGAACAAGGGAUAGCAGGGAUAAGGAAGGUCAGAUUAUCUUAUUUCCAUUGGUAUUUAAUAAGCUACUUUCGUUUGUUUAAGUUUAAAUGUUAGUUAUAACAUUCUUUAAAUCAUGAAUUGAAUAAGGUACAAGUUAUGACAAUGCAUAAACUUGUAUAUUGAAAUAAAAAGUUCUAGUGCUUACUGGAUUAUAUAAGAUAGUUAUUUAUAUUAAUAUAGUAAAAAUGAAAAAAAUGUACAACUGGCAAACAACUAAAGUAGGAAUUUUAAAUAGAUUGUGCAGUUAUAAUAUAAAGGACCUACUAACACAGAAAUAAAAUAUUUUCAAUCUCUACCAGGAAUAAUUAUUGAACAAAAACUGUGGGUUAUCUUUUUUCUUUGGUACCAUUUAUUAUCAUGAGCUGGGAUUAAAUUGUUGUUUUUCCUUGUCGCUGUGCAAGAUUGUUUAAAAAGAUGAUAUCAAUUUCAGAAUGUUUAUUUCUAAAAGCAUGUGAUAAGCCCCUGUUGAUGGUGCCAUAGUGCUGGUUGAAAAGGUUAUAAUCAUUUGUUAAGAUUGUUUUCCAAAACGGGACAUUAUUACAGCCUAAUACAGUUUAAAAUUUAAUUUAUGUUAGAAAGUUAUAAAUGGACAAAACAAAUAUUAAAGUUUGUAAAAAUAUAAAAUUAAAAACAUCACACUGAAUAGUGAGUUUUUAUGAUUCUGCGACAUGUUAGACAGCGUUCUAUACUAAAAAAUUGUGCAGUUAAAAACAUAAAUAACAUUUUGAAAAUCUUGCUAAACUCAAUUUUCCAAUUACUUACCAAUUGUGCUAAUUAAAUGCAUAUACAUAACUUAAAAUAGUCCAACUUUCCUGAGUCAAUUCUUUCAUUUUAAUAGUCUUUCCAAGAAGAAAUCAACUAAGAGUUUCAAAACAGCAUAACUUUACAGUACAUGGAAAUUAAUAUAUUACUAAUAAUUUGUUUCUUACUCAUUUUUGGAUUAUUUGUACUAAAUGUAAGAAAUACUUUUUGAUGUAUUGAAAAAAUAAACAAAAUCUUAAUCUCA
Molecule: long non-coding RNA, 1934 nt
Filed under: Homalodisca vitripennis (glassy-winged sharpshooter)
Lineage: Eukaryota; Metazoa; Arthropoda; Insecta; Hemiptera; Cicadellidae
Description: uncharacterized LOC124365755
Source: RNAcentral